GUAACUUUAGCAGUACAUAUGCUAAAAUUGGAGCAGUAUAGAGAAGAUGAGCAUGGGCUCCACGCAAGGAUGACACCCACAGUGAUGAAGCAUUCUGUAUUUUU
This 104-nucleotide small nuclear RNA is filed under the name Chinchilla lanigera (long-tailed chinchilla). The record is from RNAcentral. Lineage: Eukaryota; Metazoa; Chordata; Mammalia; Rodentia; Chinchillidae.